This 586-nucleotide ribosomal RNA is filed under the name uncultured Thermoactinomyces sp. Its description in RNAcentral is "bacterial SSU rRNA". It matches the Rfam family "Bacterial small subunit ribosomal RNA", at positions 338 to 916 of the family's 1533-position model. The record is from RNAcentral. Lineage: Bacteria; Bacillati; Bacillota; Bacilli; Caryophanales; Thermoactinomycetaceae.
CCUACGGGAGGCAGCAGUAGGGAAUUUUCCGCAAUGGGCGAAAGCCUGACGGAGCAACGCCGCGUGAGUGAGGACGGCCUUCGGGUUGUAAAACUCUGUUCUUGAGGAAGAAUCCUGUGGAUGUGAACAGCAUCGACAAUUGACGGUACUCAAGGAGAAAGCCCCGGCUAACUACGUGCCAGCAGCCGCGGUAAUACGUAGGGGGCAAGCGUUAUCCGGAAUUAUUGGGCGUAAAGCGCGCGCAGGCGGUCGGUUAAGUCAGGUGUGAAAGGCUGCGGCUCAACCGCAGAGCGGCAUCUGAAACUGGUCGGCUUGAGUGCAGGAGAGGGGAGCGGAAUUCCCGGUGUAGCGGUGGAAUGCGUAGAGAUCGGGAGGAACACCAGUGGCGAAGGCGGCUCUCUGGCCUGUAACUGACGCUGAGGCGCGAAAGCGUGGGUAGCAAACAGGAUUAGAUACCCUGGUAGUCCACGCCGUAAACGAUGAGUGCUAGGUGUUGGGGGCUACGCCCCUCAGUGCCGAAGGCAACCCAUUAAGCACUCCGCCUGGGGAGUACGGCCGCAAGGCUGAAACUCAAAUGAAUUGACGG